RNAcentral lists this ribosomal RNA (753 nucleotides) under uncultured Pseudomonas sp. RNAcentral describes it as "bacterial SSU rRNA". It matches the Rfam family "Bacterial small subunit ribosomal RNA", at positions 28 to 776 of the family's 1533-position model. The record is from RNAcentral. Lineage: Bacteria; Pseudomonadati; Pseudomonadota; Gammaproteobacteria; Pseudomonadales; Pseudomonadaceae.
AUUGAACGCUGGCGGCAGGCCUAACACAUGCAAGUCGAGCGGAUGACGGGAGCUUGCUCCUUGAUUCAGCGGCGGACGGGUGAGUAAUGCCUAGGAAUCUGCCUGGUAGUGGGGGACAACGUUUCGAAAGGAACGCUAAUACCGCAUACGUCCUACGGGAGAAAGCAGGGGACCUUCGGGCCUUGCGCUAUCAGAUGAGCCUAGGUCGGAUUAGCUAGUUGGUGGGGUAGUGGCUCACCAAGGCGACGAUCCGUAACUGGUCUGAGAGGAUGAUCAGUCACACUGGAACUGAGACACGGUCCAGACUCCUACGGGAGGCAGCAGUGGGGAAUAUUGGACAAUGGGCGAAAGCCUGAUCCAGCCAUGCCGCGUGUGUGAAGAAGGUCUUCGGAUUGUAAGGCACUUUAAGUUGGGAGGAAGGGCAGUAAGUUAAUACCUUGCUGUUUUGACGUUACCGACAGAAUAAGCACCGGCUAACUCUGUGCCAGCAGCCGCGGUAAUACAGAGGGUGCAAGCGUUAAUCGGAAUUACUGGGCGUAAAGCGCGCGUAGGUGGUUUGUUAAGUUGGAUGUGAAAGCCCCGGGCUCAACCUGGGAACUGCAUCCAAAACUGGCAAGCUAGAGUACGGUAGAGGGUGGUGGAAUUUCCUGUGUAGCGGUGAAAUGCGUAGAUAUAGGAAGGAACACCAGUGGCGAAGGCGACCACCUGGACUGAUACUGACACUGAGGUGCGAAAGCGUGGGGAGCAAACAGG